RNAcentral lists this ribosomal RNA (294 nucleotides) under uncultured Mesorhizobium sp. RNAcentral's name for it is "partial 16S ribosomal RNA". It matches the Rfam family "Bacterial small subunit ribosomal RNA", at positions 29 to 352 of the family's 1533-position model. The record is from RNAcentral. Lineage: Bacteria; Pseudomonadati; Pseudomonadota; Alphaproteobacteria; Hyphomicrobiales; Phyllobacteriaceae.
AACGAACGCUGGCGGCAGGCUUAACACAUGCAAGUCGAGCGCCCCGCAAUGGGAGCGGCAGACGGGUGAGUAACGCGUGGGAAUCUACCCAUCUCUACGGAACAACUCCGGGAAACUCGAGCUAAUACCGUAUACGUCCUUCGGGAGAAAGAUUUAUCGGAGAUGGAUGAGCCCGCGUUGGAUUAGCUAGUUGGUGGGGUAAUGGCCUACCAAGGCGACGAUCCAUAGCUGGUCUGAGAGGAUGAUCAGCCACACUGGGACUGAGACACGGCCCAGACUCCUACGGGAGGCAGC